GCCUGCUGGCUGUGCACUGGCUGUGACCGCCAUGAUGUGACAGAUUUCAGCAGAGGGACAGUCUGACAUGGAAGUGAGUAUGAGGCAAAGAUGUGGAAUUGAAUUCCUCCGUGCAGAAAAAAUGGCACUCACUGACAUUCAGUGACACUUGAACAUUUAUGGAGACCAAACAGUGGAUGUGAGCACAGCGAAGCAGUGAAUGAUGCAUUUCUGCAAUGGUAACA
Molecule: long non-coding RNA, 224 nt
Filed under: Gallus gallus (chicken)
Lineage: Eukaryota; Metazoa; Chordata; Aves; Galliformes; Phasianidae
Source: RNAcentral